This 770-nucleotide ribosomal RNA is filed under the name Escherichia coli. RNAcentral describes it as "bacterial LSU rRNA". It matches the Rfam family "Bacterial large subunit ribosomal RNA", at positions 1 to 806 of the family's 2925-position model. Lineage: Bacteria; Pseudomonadati; Pseudomonadota; Gammaproteobacteria; Enterobacterales; Enterobacteriaceae. The record is from RNAcentral.
GUUGUGAGGUUAAGCGGCUAAGCGUACACGGUGGAUGCCCUGGCAGUCAGAGGCGAUGAAGGACGUGCUAAUCUGCGAUAAGCGUCGGUAAGGUGAUAUGAACCGUUAUAACCGGCGAUUUCCGAAUGGGGAAACCCAGUGUGAUUCGUCACACUAUCAUUAACUGAAUCCAUAGGUUAAUGAGGCGAACCGGGGGAACUGAAACAUCUAAGUACCCCGAGGAAAAGAAAUCAACCGAGAUUCCCCCAGUAGCGGCGAGCGAACGGGGAGGAGCCCAGAGCCUGAAUCAGUGUGUGUGUUAGUGGAAGCGUCUGGAAAGGCGCGCGAUACAGGGUGACAGCCCCGUACACAAAAAUGCACAUGCUGUGAGCUCGAUGAGUAGGGCGGGACACGUGGUAUCCUGUCUGAAUAUGGGGGGACCAUCCUCCAAGGCUAAAUACUCCUGACUGACCGAUAGUGAACCAGUACCGUGAGGGAAAGGCGAAAAGAACCCCGGCGAGGGGAGUGAAAAAGAACCUGAAACCGUGUACGUACAAGCAGUGGGAGCACGCUUAGGCGUGUGACUGCGUACCUUUUGUAUAAUGGGUCAGCGACUUAUAUUCUGUAGCAAGGUUAACCGAAUAGGGGAGCCGAAGGGAAACCGAGUCUUAACUGGGCGUUAAGUUGCAGGGUAUAGACCCGAAACCCGGUGAUCUAGCCAUGGGCAGGUUGAAGGUUGGGUAACACUAACUGGAGGACCGAACCGACUAAUGUUGAAAAAUUAGCGGAUG